Molecule: small nucleolar RNA, 102 nt
Filed under: Tursiops truncatus (common bottlenose dolphin)
Lineage: Eukaryota; Metazoa; Chordata; Mammalia; Artiodactyla; Delphinidae
Description: Small nucleolar RNA SNORA74 (ENSTTRG00000024471.1)
Rfam family: Small nucleolar RNA SNORA74
About the family: U19 belongs to the H/ACA class of snoRNAs. snoRNAs bind a number of proteins (including dyskerin, Gar1p and Nop10p in the case of the H/ACA class) to form snoRNP complexes. This class are thought to guide the sites of modification of uridines to pseudouridines by forming direct base pairing interactions with substrate RNAs. Targets may include ribosomal and spliceosomal RNAs but the exact functions of many snoRNAs, including U19, are not confirmed.
Source: RNAcentral
UCCAGCAGUUGUCAGCUGUCCAGGCUAGUGUGAUGCCUCGGAUGGUGUUACACUGUUGGAAGAGCAAGUGCUGCCUUUAUUGAGGUCUGGCUCUAGUACUGU